This 279-nucleotide ribosomal RNA is filed under the name uncultured bacterium. Its description in RNAcentral is "partial 16S ribosomal RNA". It matches the Rfam family "Bacterial small subunit ribosomal RNA", at positions 506 to 784 of the family's 1533-position model. The record is from RNAcentral.
UGCCAGCAGCCGCGGUAAUACGGAGGGGGCUAGCGUUGUUCGGAAUUACUGGGCGUAAAGCGCGCGUAGGCGGAUCAGAAAGUAAGGGGUGAAAUCCCGGGGCUCAACCCCGGAACUGCCUUGUAAACUCCUGGUCUUGAGUUCGAGAGAGGUGAGUGGAAUUCCGAGUGUAGAGGUGAAAUUCGUAGAUAUUCGGAGGAAUACCAGUGGCGAAGGCGGCUCACUGGCUCGGUACUGACGCUGAGAUGCGAAAGCGUGGGGAGCAAACAGGAUUAGAUA